AGAGUUUGAUCCUGGCUCAGGAUGAACGCUAGCGACAGGCUUAACACAUGCAAGUCGAGGGGCAGCGGGGAGGUAGCAAUACUUCCGCCGGCGACCGGCGCACGGGUGAGUAACACGUAUGGAACCUGCCCGUAGCAGGGGGAUAAGCGGAAGAAAUUCCGUCUAAUACCGCGUAAUAAUUCCGAGAGGCAUCUCAUGGGGUUUAAAGGGUAAUACCGGCUACGGAUGGCCAUGCGGCGCAUUAGCUAGUUGGCGGGGUAACGGCCCACCAAGGCGACGAUGCGUAGGGGUUCUGAGAGGAAGGUCCCCCACACUGGUACUGAGACACGGACCAGACUCCUACGGGAGGCAGCAGUGAGGAAUAUUGGUCAAUGGGCGCGAGCCUGAACCAGCCAAGUCGCGUGAGGGAAGACGGUCCUAUGGAUUGUAAACCUCUUUUGUCGGGGAGCAAAAGACGUCACGUGUGGCGUUCCGAGAGUACCCGAAGAAAAAGCAUCGGCUAACUCCGUGCCANCAGCCGCGGUAAUACGGAGGAUGCGAGCGUUAUCCGGAUUUAUUGGGUUUAAAGGGUGCGCAGGCGGA
RNAcentral lists this ribosomal RNA (582 nucleotides) under uncultured bacterium. Its description in RNAcentral is "bacterial SSU rRNA". It matches the Rfam family "Bacterial small subunit ribosomal RNA", at positions 8 to 579 of the family's 1533-position model. The record is from RNAcentral.